AAUAAAGUGCCUGAUAAAAGGAUUAUUCUGAUAGGAUAAAUAAUGUAUUAUAAAUACCUUUAUUA
Molecule: transfer RNA, 65 nt
Filed under: Erionota torus (palm redeye)
Lineage: Eukaryota; Metazoa; Arthropoda; Insecta; Lepidoptera; Hesperiidae
Description: tRNA-Ile
Source: RNAcentral